RNAcentral lists this transfer RNA (93 nucleotides) under Pseudomonadota bacterium. RNAcentral's name for it is "Proteobacteria bacterium tRNA-Ser". It matches the Rfam family "tRNA". From Rfam's summary of the family: Transfer RNA (tRNA) molecules are approximately 80 nucleotides in length. Their secondary structure includes four short double-helical elements and three loops (D, anti-codon, and T loops). Lineage: Bacteria; Pseudomonadati; Pseudomonadota. RNAcentral also lists the same sequence under 3 other names. The record is from RNAcentral.
GGAGAGAUGACCGAGCUGGCCGAAGGUGCUCGCCUGCUAAGCGAGUGUAUGCCGAAAGGUGUACCGCGGGUUCGAAUCCCGCUCUCUCCGCCA